GGGGGGGGGGGGCAAGCGUUGUUCGGGAAUUACUGGGCGUAAAGGGCGCGUAGGCGGUCCCGCAAGUCCUUCGUGAAAUCCCACAGCUCAACUGUGGAACUGCGAGGGAAACUGCAGGACUUGAGUCCGGGAGAGGAGAGUGGAAUUCCCAGUGUAGCGGUGAAAUGCGUAGAUAUUGGGAGGAACACCGGUGGCGAAGGCGGCUCUCUGGACCGGUACUGACGCUGAGGCGCGAAAGCUAGGGGAGCAAACGGGAUUAGAUACCCCGGUAGUCCUAGCCUUAAACGAUGAGCACUUGGUGUGGCGGGUAUCGACCCCUGCCGUGCCGAAGCUAACGCAUUAAGUGCUCCGCCUGGGGAGUACGGUCGCAAAGGCUG
This 377-nucleotide ribosomal RNA is filed under the name uncultured organism. Its description in RNAcentral is "partial 16S ribosomal RNA". It matches the Rfam family "Bacterial small subunit ribosomal RNA", at positions 523 to 896 of the family's 1533-position model. The record is from RNAcentral.